UUUUCACAUUAGUUCAAUUAAAAUAGGAUUUAGGUACGCUGGAAUAUCUUACAUUAUAGAUAAAACACUCGUUAACAAAUGUGAUAUCACAUACAAAGAAAUUUAAACUCGAGAUCUCUAAUGUCCAUGCCAGAUUAAGGGUGUUUUCGGUACUAAUGCAUUCCUCUGUUUCCAUUUGCAGAUGGAAGUUGGCCUGCUUCAAUCUUAAGCCGCUGCAGUUCUUCCCUCAACGUAUCAUUUAGAGCAUCUCUAAGGUGUGCUUGUUGUUCCAAAGCUUGCAACCGAAAUUUCAGUUCUUUGUUUUCAGCAUUUAGUCCAGAAGUGUCUCUCUGUAGAACUGUGAUCUGAGCGGAUAGAGUGGUGGCUUCAGUCUGCAGAGUCUGCACUUUCCUCUCUAGCUCACUAGUGUAACGAGUUUUUCGCUCCUUGGAACGUGCAGCAGAUUGUCUGUUUGCUAGGAUCCUUUUAGCUCUUUUGGGAUCAAUCAAGGACAGCUCAGCAAGCCUAUCAGGAGCCAUAGCCUUCUUAACAGAAAUCGAUUCAGACUCAAACGAC
This 555-nucleotide unclassified non-coding RNA is filed under the name Hevea brasiliensis (rubber tree). Lineage: Eukaryota; Viridiplantae; Streptophyta; Magnoliopsida; Malpighiales; Euphorbiaceae. The record is from RNAcentral.